AUUGAACGCUGGCGGCAGGCCUAACACAUGCAAGUCGAGCGGAUGAAGGGAGCUUGCUCCUGGAUUCAGCGGCGGACGGGUGAGUAAUGCCUAGGAAUCUGCCUGGUAGUGGGGGAUAACGUCCGGAAACGGGCGCUAAUACCGCAUACGUCCUGAGGGAGAAAGUGGGGGAUCUUCGGACCUCACGCUAUCAGAUGAGCCUAGGUCGGAUUAGCUAGUUGGUGGGGUAAAGGCCUACCAAGGCGACGAUCCGUAACUGGUCUGAGAGGAUGAUCAGUCAAACUGGAACGGAGACACGGUCCAGACUCCUACGGGAGGCAGCAGUGGGAAAUAUUGGACAAGGGGCGAAAGCCUGAUCCAGCCAUGCCGCGUGUGUGAAGAAGGUCUUCGGAUGGUAAAGCACUUUAAGUUGGGAGGAAGGGCAGUAAGUUAAUACCUUGCUGUUUUGACGUUACCAACAGAAUAAGCACCGGCUAACUUCGU
This 483-nucleotide ribosomal RNA is filed under the name uncultured bacterium. Its description in RNAcentral is "partial 16S ribosomal RNA". It matches the Rfam family "Bacterial small subunit ribosomal RNA", at positions 30 to 506 of the family's 1533-position model. The record is from RNAcentral.